UCAACUCUUGUUCCAUAGUGUAAACUGAAAAGAAAUACGUUACAGAUUAGAUAUAGUUACGGGGCCUGCUGAACAAAAAACAAAUAUAGAUGCCACAUCAGAUAGGAGCGAAAUAGUGUCAUCAAAAUGUUUUAUGGGACUAAAAUAAAUCAUCAGGUAUGGCAUAGAUCAAACUUAUUUUAAAUAGUGAGAACAGUACUUACAUUAAUGAACUGCUCAUUAAAAAU
This is a non-coding RNA of Biomphalaria pfeifferi, 227 nucleotides long. The record is from the annotation of a GenBank genome assembly. Lineage: Eukaryota; Metazoa; Mollusca; Gastropoda; Planorbidae.